UACGGGGGGGGCAAGCGUUGUUCGGAAUUACUGGGCGUAAAGGGCUCGUAGGCGGCCAACUAAGUCAGACGUGAAAUCCCUCGGCUUAACCGGGGAACUGCAUCUGAUACUGGAUGGCUUGAGUUCGGGAGAGGGAUGUGGAAUUCCAGGUGUAGCGGUGAAAUGCGUAGAUAUCUGGAGGAACACCGGUGGCGAAGGCGGUUACCUGGAGCUUUGCUGACGCUGAUGCGCGAAAGCGUGGGGAGCGAUCCGG
RNAcentral lists this ribosomal RNA (253 nucleotides) under uncultured bacterium. Its description in RNAcentral is "partial 16S ribosomal RNA". It matches the Rfam family "Bacterial small subunit ribosomal RNA", at positions 524 to 776 of the family's 1533-position model. The record is from RNAcentral.